GGAGUCAGAGUGCUUUCAUAUGCCUCCGUUGACCCAGAUCCCGAGCCCCACGAGGACGGACGCUCAUUUGUUCUGGACCUUGUUCUAUGAAUCUCUACAGAUGCCUCUUGAUUCAUAUCCUGUAUCCUCUCCUGUAAUACGCUGGUGAACCUUGGAGCUCUACUAUGAGCACGCGGAUGAUGGAAUGCCUACCCACAGACUACUAGGCUUUAUUGAGACCGUACCGAGCACGUGCUUUGAAAUGUGCAGAUUAUCACAAGACCGUCUGUUCCUUAUGGCUGAACCCAUUCUUCCAUAUUUUCAGAGAAUCUUCAACAUGUCUCAUGGAGAAAAUUAUGUAUCGAGUCAAUGCAGUCUCUUAUUCUGAAGCCCACAGUGGAGAAACUGGAGCAUCUUGCAUUUUUGCUUCCUAUGCAGCUUUUGUAAUACGAAAGCCAAUGAUUAUGGUACAGUUGGAGACAUGGAUGUUUUGCUGAAUAUUAACCUACAUACCACUCAAGUGCAUUCCUUGUGUGAAAGAACUCUGAUGCAAUAGAAGAUCCCUGAACUCUGAAUCCUGGGAUGCAGAACACCCAUGGUCCAAAGGCGAACUGAAGAGAAAGAGGGAUUUUAUAUUUAGAUAUAUAAUAUUGAUUUUUUAAAUCAAGCAAUAAACUAUAAAUAAGCUUUA
Long non-coding RNA from Felis catus (domestic cat), 670 nucleotides. RefSeq lists it as uncharacterized. Lineage: Eukaryota; Metazoa; Chordata; Mammalia; Carnivora; Felidae. The record is from RefSeq and is a predicted model, not a curated record. The transcript has 5 exons.